AUUGAACGCUGGCGGCAUGCUUUACACAUGCAAGUCGAACGGCAGCGCGGGCUUCGGCCUGGCGGCGAGUGGCGAACGGGUGAGUAAUACAUCGGAACGUGCCCAGUAGUGGGGGAUAGCUCGGCGAAAGCCGGAUUAAUACCGCAUACGACCUGAGGGUGAAAGCGGGGGAUCUUCGGACCUCGCGCUAUUGGAGCGGCCGAUGGCAGAUUAGCUAGUUGGUGGGGUAAAGGCCUACCAAGGCGACGACCUGUAGCUGGUCUGAGAGGACGACCAGCCACACUAGGACUGAGACAGCGCCCAGGCUCCUGAGGGAGGGCGCAGUGGGGAAUUUUGGGCAAUGGGGGGAAACCUGGUCCAGCAAUGCCGCGUGUGUGAUGAAGGCCUUCGGGUUGUAAAGCACUUUUGGCGGGAACGAAAAGGACUGUGCCAAUACCACGGUUCGAUGACGGUACCCGCAGAAUAAGCACCGGCUAACUACGUG
Molecule: ribosomal RNA, 484 nt
Filed under: uncultured bacterium
Lineage: Bacteria
Description: partial 16S ribosomal RNA
Rfam family: Bacterial small subunit ribosomal RNA
Source: RNAcentral